Molecule: ribosomal RNA, 369 nt
Filed under: uncultured fungus
Lineage: Eukaryota; Fungi
Description: eukaryotic LSU rRNA
Rfam family: 5.8S ribosomal RNA (bases 1-114)
Source: RNAcentral
AACGCAGCGAAGGGCGAUAAGUAAUGUGAAUUGCAGAUUUUCAGUGAAUCAUCGAAUCUUUGAACGCACCUUGCGCUCCUUGGUAUUCCGAGGAGCAUGCCUGUUUGAGUGUCAUUGAAUUCUCAACCAUGUCUCGAUCGACUUCGAGGCAUGGCUUGGAGUUUGGGAGUUGCUGGCGUCAAGUCAGCUCUUCUGAAAUACAUUAGCGAUGGACGAGCAUGUCCUGAUGUGCACGGCCUACCGACGUGAUAAUGAUCGUCGUGGCUGGAGCGUUCGGACGUCGCAUCUUCAUGGUCUGUUUCGCUUCCAAUCGAGAGUACCCUUCGAACGCUUGACCUCAAAUCAGGUAGGACUACCCGCUGAACUUAA